RNAcentral lists this ribosomal RNA (248 nucleotides) under uncultured bacterium. RNAcentral describes it as "partial 16S ribosomal RNA". It matches the Rfam family "Bacterial small subunit ribosomal RNA", at positions 524 to 776 of the family's 1533-position model. The record is from RNAcentral.
UACGUAGGAUCCAAGCGUUGUCCGGAUUUACUGGGUGUAAAGGGUGCGCAGGCGGACUUAUAAGUCAGUGGUGAAAUCUCACAGCUUACUGUGAAACUGCCUUUGAUACUGUAGGUCUUGAAUUAGGGAGAGAUUCGUGGAAUUCCGAGUGAGCAGUGAAUGUGUAGAUAUUCGGAAGAACACCAGAGGCGAAGGCAGCGAAUUGGCCCUAUAUUACGCUCAGGCACAAAGCAUGGGGAUCAAACAGG